Pelobates cultripes (western spadefoot toad) is the source of this 281-nucleotide non-coding RNA. NCBI's taxonomy places the organism in Eukaryota, Metazoa, Chordata, Amphibia, Anura, Pelobatidae. The record is from the annotation of a GenBank genome assembly.
CGGGUGGGUUAUGUAAAAACCUUCGGUCAGUGGGGGAACAUCCGAGCAUAGCUCGGGAAAAGUUAUGUAAGGAAGUGCAAUUAGGGAGGAUGGCGGGACCAUUCGCUUCCCCGCCGUUGGCUGGUUUGCGGGUGUCUCCACUUGGGGUAGUCCCCAAGAAGGAGGCGGGUAAAUUUCGUAUGAUCCAUCAUUUAUCGUACCCACAAGGUACAUCGGUUAAUGAUGAUAUCGACGAGGCCCUGUGUUCUGUUUCCUACACAUCAUUUGACAAGGCUGUCGAG